AACCGAAGUAUAGGAGGUCCUACCUGCCCAGUGACUAUUUGUUUAACGGCCGCGGUAUCUUGACCGUGCUAAGGUAGCGAAAUCACUUGUCUUUUAAAUGAGGACCUGUAUGAAUGGUGGACCCAGGGCUUAACUGUCUCCUUUUUCAAGUCAGUGAAAUUGAUCUGCCCGUGCAGAAGCGGACAUAAAUAUACAAGACGAGAAGACCCUUUGGAGCUUAAGACAUACAGUCAACUGUGUUAAAAGUUCUACCAAAAAAAUUAAACUAAACAAUAACUGACUUUGCGUCUUCGGUUGGGGCGACCGCGGGGGAAAACAAAGCCCCCACGUAGAAUGGGACAACUCCCUAAAACCAAGAGAAACAUCUCUAAGUCACAGAACCUCUGACUAAAAGAUCCGGCACACGCCGAUCAACGAACCAAGUUACCCGAGGGAUAACAGCGCAAUCCCCUCCAAGAGCCCGUAUCAACAAGGGGGUUUACGACCUCGAUGUUGGAUCAGGAAUCCUAAUGGUGAGCCGCUAUUAAGGGUUCGUUUGGUCAACGAUUAAAGUCCUACGUGAUCUGAG
This 568-nucleotide ribosomal RNA is filed under the name Brycon nattereri. Its description in RNAcentral is "partial 16S ribosomal RNA". It matches the Rfam family "Bacterial large subunit ribosomal RNA", at positions 1836 to 2609 of the family's 2925-position model. The record is from RNAcentral. Lineage: Eukaryota; Metazoa; Chordata; Actinopteri; Characiformes; Bryconidae.